CAGCUACUAUAGAGGAUGAUGAAGUGAACUUUGAAAAAAAAACGUUGUCGCCUUCAACAAAUUAAGAGGAAUGAGGAUUUAAAAUAAUCAAUUUAAAAGUCGAGGAGAAAAAUAAUCAUUAAAAAGAAAUAUAAUAAUAAACAACGGUUAAAUAUCACUAAACCCAGAUUCCAGCGAGACUCCGGCGACUCCCACUUCUCCUGAACUUCACUCAAACAGCUGCCGCCGCCUCGCUCUUUUCCCCUUCAGCAUCUGAUCGACCCCUUGACCGUCCUCUGCCGCUUCAACUCACACCGACACACCCAUCAACUUCUCCACAUCCACGAACUCCGCCGCCGCCAAAACGCUCUCCCUCUUUCUCUCCAUGGACGCGUUGUCGCAGCCGAUCUUGUCCUCGAUCUGCGAGUCUCCGUGCGUUGUCACAAUCCAUAAGGCGACAUCGAAAUACCCUCUGUUAGAUCCCACUUCUCCACCGUCGUCAACUCGGAGAAUACGAUAUGUAGGUUAGGUUUUAUUGGAAGAGGGACCUAAC
RNAcentral lists this long non-coding RNA (532 nucleotides) under Linum usitatissimum (flax). RNAcentral's name for it is "long non-coding RNA (LUSI_LNC005662)". Lineage: Eukaryota; Viridiplantae; Streptophyta; Magnoliopsida; Malpighiales; Linaceae. The record is from RNAcentral.